This 386-nucleotide unclassified non-coding RNA is filed under the name uncultured bacterium. RNAcentral's name for it is "contains 16S-23S intergenic spacer region". The record is from RNAcentral.
UCCGAGUUGACCCCGGCAGUCUCGCAUGAGUCCCCGCCACCCCGAAGGGCGCGCUGGCAACAUGCGACAAGGGUUGCGCUCGUUGCGGGACUUAACCCAACAUCUCACGGCACGAGCUGACGACAGCCAUGCAGCACCUGUGCUGGCUGCCCUUGCGGGCUCAUUACCGUUUCCGGUUCUUAACACCAGCAUGUCAAACCUGGGUAAGGUUCUUCGCGUUGCGUCGAAUUAAACCACAUGCACCACCGCUUGUGCGGGCCCCCGUCAAUUCCUUUGAGUUUCAACCUUGCGGCCGUACUCCCCAGGCGGGGAACUUACUCCGUUAGGUGCGGCACCGGCGGUAAACCCCCCAACGGCUAGCAUCCAUCGUUUACGGCGUGGACUAC